RNAcentral lists this ribosomal RNA (468 nucleotides) under uncultured bacterium. RNAcentral describes it as "partial 16S ribosomal RNA". It matches the Rfam family "Bacterial small subunit ribosomal RNA", at positions 28 to 507 of the family's 1533-position model. The record is from RNAcentral.
GACGAACGCUGGCGGCGUGCUUAACACAUGCAAGUCGAACGGAAAGGCCCUGCUUUUGUGGGGUGCUCGAGUGGCGAACGGGUGAGUAACACGUGAGUAACCUGCCCUUGACUUUGGGAUAACUUCAGGAAAUUGGGGUUAAACCCGGAAAGAAGUUCCUGCGGCAGGGUGGGGGUUGGAAAGUUUCGGCGGUUGGGGAUGGACUCGCGGCUUAUCAGCUUGUUGGUGGGGUAGUGGCUUACCAAGGCUUUGACGGGUAGCCGGCCUGAGAGGGUGACCGGCCACAUUGGGACUGAGAUACGGCCCAGACUCCUACGGGAGGCAGCAGUGGGGAAUAUUGCACAAUGGGCGGAAGCCUGAUGCAGCAACGCCGCGUGCGGGAUGACGGCCUUCGGGUUGUAAACCGCUUUCGCCUGUGACGAAGCGUGAGUGACGGUAAUGGGUAAAGAAGCACCGGCUAACUACGUG